UAACGAAUCUUCCGCAAUGGGCGCAAGCCUGACGGAGCAAUGCCGCGUGCGGGAUGAAGUACCUCUGGUAUGUAAACCGCUGUCGGGGGUAGAACCAAUGAUCACCCCCAAAGGAAGUGGCGACUAACUCUGUGCCAGCAGUCGCGGUAAUACAGAGGCCACAAGCGUUAGUCGGAAUCACUGGGCUUAAAGGGUGCGUAGGCUGGCUCGUAAGUGUUCUGUGAAAGCCCCCGGCUCAACCGGGGAACAGCAGGGCAUACUGCGGGUCUUGAGGCAGGUAGGGGUCGCGAGAACAGUAGGUGGAGCGGUGAAAUGCGUAGAUAUCUACUGGAAUGCCGAUGGUGAAGACGCGCGACUGGGCCUGUCCUGACGCUGAGGCGCGAAAGCUAGGGGAGCAAACGGGAUUAGAUACCCUCGUAGUCCCUGAGCGGGCUGGCAAGGCGCAU
Molecule: ribosomal RNA, 446 nt
Filed under: uncultured bacterium
Lineage: Bacteria
Description: bacterial SSU rRNA
Rfam family: Bacterial small subunit ribosomal RNA
Source: RNAcentral